AACGAACGCUGGCGGCAGGCCUAACACAUGCAAGUCGAGCGCACCGCAAGGGGAGUGGCAGACGGGUGAGUAACGCGUGGGAAUCUACCCAGCUCUACGGAAUAACUCAGGGAAACUUGUGCUAAUACCGUAUACGUCCGAGAGGAGAAAGAUUUAUCGGAGUUGGAUGAGCCCGCGUUGGAUUAGCUAGUUGGUAGGGUAAUGGCCUACCAAGGCGACGUUCCAUAGCUGGUCUGAGAGGAUGAUCAGCCACACUGGGACUGAGACACGGCCCAGACUCCUACGGGAGGCAGCAUGGUGGAAUAUUGGACAAUGGGCGAAAGCCUGAUCCAGCCAUGCCGCGUGAGUGAUGAAGGCCCUAGGUUUGUAAAGCUCUUUCACCGGUGAAGAUAAUGACGGUAACCGGAGAAGAAGCCCCGGCUAACUUCGUGCCAGCCGCCGCCGUAA
RNAcentral lists this ribosomal RNA (447 nucleotides) under uncultured bacterium. Its description in RNAcentral is "partial 16S ribosomal RNA". It matches the Rfam family "Bacterial small subunit ribosomal RNA", at positions 29 to 523 of the family's 1533-position model. The record is from RNAcentral.